Molecule: ribosomal RNA, 464 nt
Filed under: uncultured bacterium
Lineage: Bacteria
Description: partial 16S ribosomal RNA
Rfam family: Bacterial small subunit ribosomal RNA
Source: RNAcentral
CCUACGGGAGGCAGCAGUAGGGAAUCUUCCACAAUGGGCGAAAGCCUGAUGGAGCAAAGCCGCGUGGGUGAAGAAGGUCUUCGGAUCGUAAAACCCUGUUGUUAGAGAAGAAAGUGCGUGAGAGUAACUGUUCACGUUUCUACGGUAUCACACCAGAAAGCCACGGCUAACUACGUGCAUGCAGCCGAUGGAAUACGUAGGAGGCAAGCGUUAUCCGGAUUUAUUGGGUUUAAAGGGUGCGCAGGUGGAGGCACAAGUCAGCGGGAAAAUAGCGGGGCUCAACCCCGUUCCGACGUUGUAACUGUGUCCCUUGAGUGCUCGAAGGGUAGGCGGAAUGCGUGGUGUAGCGGUGAAAUGCAUAGAUAUCACGCAGAACUCCGAUCGCGAAGGCAGCCUACCGGCGCGCAACUGACGCUCAUGCACGAAAGCGUGGGUAUCGAACAGGAUUAGAUACCCGUGUAGUC